RNAcentral lists this long non-coding RNA (1050 nucleotides) under Anas platyrhynchos platyrhynchos (common mallard). RNAcentral's name for it is "lncRNA (ENSAPLG00000021206.1)". Lineage: Eukaryota; Metazoa; Chordata; Aves; Anseriformes; Anatidae. The record is from RNAcentral.
UCAGCGGGCGAGCGCAGGGCACAUGGCUCGAACAGCACGCAGCCAAUCAGAGAGGCACUGUGAAAUGAGUGCUCCCUCCCUGGCACAAAAUGUCAGCCCCCAGUGUGUUGCACGGGGAGGGAUUUCUUGUUCCCAUGGCCACUGCAGAAUCUAGACACAGAGGCUGGUUUGGGCUGUUACUCACAAUUGGAGGCCAAAUUGCUUGUUGUACCAGAGAUAGGAGUGUGCUGUCCUGGCCCUUUGUUCCGUUACAGAGCUCUGCUACUGCCAGUGCACCUACGCAGUGAGGAUCCAACAGCAGAAGAGCACUCUUUUGUCAGCAUCUGGUGGCUGUGAGGAAGAUGGUGCACCGUGCAAUUAGCUCCAGUAGAGAAAUCCUGGUGAGGGAGUAUCUGUCCCUCUGGCUUUAUCCAAGAGGCAGCGUUCUCAGGAGAGAUACUGUGGACCUCAUGAAAUGGGUGAUUUAGUUGUUUUCCUCCUGGCACACACUUUUGACAGGCAUGGCCUUCAGGUUAGUUGCAAGCACAAAAGUGGAAGGAGCCAAGGGUAGGAGAUUUGUCGCUUCUUUUGGACGAACACUCUAGGAGACAACCCACAACCAGGAAUAAGAAAGUUAGAUCUGGUCCUUUGCAUGAAUCUUUGUGGUCUUCUGGAAAUCCUUCAAAUUACUCCUCAGUUCCAGAAGCCUCCAGGUUUUUCUGUGUUUCCAGGAAACACCCUCAGGCGUGGGCUAAGACUGAGACAUAUCUAAAUACUGUCGUUGGGCUAAGAAGGUUCUUUGACAGUUUCCUGCCACUGAGUUUUCCAAAAGUCUGGCUGUUUUAUAUUUUUUCCCUCCUAGUUUUAAGCAGUCUUUGCAGUACAGUCAUCCCAGGGGAAUGGUUUUACAUUAAAAGGGGGCAGAUUUAGAUUUGAGGCUAGGAGGAAAUUCUUCCCUCAGAGGCUGUUGAGGCACUGGGAUAGGUUGCCCGGGGAGGUUGUGGAUGCUCCACCCCUGGAGGUAUCCAAGACCAGGGUGGAUGAGGCCCUGGGAAACCUGAUCUAGUGGGU